Molecule: long non-coding RNA, 449 nt
Filed under: Cucumis sativus (cucumber)
Lineage: Eukaryota; Viridiplantae; Streptophyta; Magnoliopsida; Cucurbitales; Cucurbitaceae
Description: long non-coding RNA (CSAT_LNC000795)
Source: RNAcentral
UCAAUGGCUGGUGUCAAGCAAAGGAACAAGUUUAUAAUAAUACAAAGUACGCAUUUUGAGGGGGUUGGGGAAGCUGGAUCAGCACACCUUGUAACAGGUAUCCUUCCCGUUAUUUUUUCACUAAAGGAGAAUGAAUGCCAUAAAUACUGUUUCUAAUUUCCCCCCUUUAUUCCAAUGAACUGAAUCCGAAUUCAUGGGGUUGAAUUCUAUGAUGGCUGCAAAUGACACCAUCAGGGCAUGUAUCUAAACUGUCAACUACUUUAAAAAUCAAAAUGAGUUGAGUUAGAACAGAGGAUGUACACUGAGCUCAUUUUGUACAAUUACAUUUACAGCACUGUAUUGAGAGGGAGAAACACCAAGAACCUAAAUUGCUACCUGACUAACCCAAUUCAUUUGCAAUUUCAAGAUGGGUUCUUCACAAUCUUAACAUUGCUGUAGAAACGCUUCAG